RNAcentral lists this long non-coding RNA (3945 nucleotides) under Homo sapiens (human). RNAcentral's name for it is "HSALNT0377262". Lineage: Eukaryota; Metazoa; Chordata; Mammalia; Primates; Hominidae. The record is from RNAcentral.
UGCUAUCUAUGAUGUCUUCACUUAUGGAUAUAUUUAUUAACAAGUACUUAUUAGCUAUUUAACAUUUCCUCUACUGAGUGUUAUUAAUUACAGAUGCUGUAUUAGUUUCCUAAGGCUGCUGUAACAAAUUACCACAAACGUGGUGACUUAAAACAACAGAAAUUUAUUCUCUCACGGUUCUGGAGGCCAGAAGUUCAAAAUACAGCUGGGACCAAAGGCAUCUCUAAGGAAGGAUACAGUCCUUGCCUCUUCCAGGGUUCUGUGCCUCCUGUUGGAAUGAGCUCACUAACCAGUGGAAACAAACUGUUUAUCCUUCUAUGAUGUUGCAACUGCCUGGGCUUUCUAAUGCGUCUUCAGAUUUCGGUUUGUACUCAGAACAAGUGAGAAAAGUUUUACAGCAACUCCACGAAACAAAGCAGACAGGCUCUCCUGAAGCCAAGGAGUUAUGAAAAAGGCAGGCAUCGCGCAUUGAAUCAAGUAUGCCAUUACCCUCACUCCCAUGAACCUGUCUUUCAGCACAAUCCAUGACAGCAAGAAGACAAAGGCUUUGUUACAACAGAACAGAGCGGAGACAUCCGUGGCCGUCAGCUUCUUUAAAGCCAGUAAAUAAAGGUAAUUAGUCAAAGUCCAUAGAAUAGAAAAGGGAGCAGUUCUUUUAAGAAAGAGUUUCAGCGUCAGACCAUCUUCACCAAAAAUCCGACUGCAUUCCCUAGGAAAGAAAAGAGAAGUUAAUAUCCAGGUACUGAUGGUGACACCUCUUGUCUUAUCUGACUCAUCGCAGCCAUUUUCAGGUCUGGCUCUCUUACCCAGGCUGGAAUGCGGUAGCAUGAUCUUGGCUCACUGCAACCUCCGCCUCCCAGACUCGAGCCAUCCUCACACCUCAGCCUCCUGAGUAGCUGGGACUACAGGCACGCACCACCAUGCCAGGCUAGUUUUUGAAAUUUUUUUGUAGAGACAGACAGGAUUUCACUCUGUUGCCUAGGCUGGUCUCAAACUCUUAAGCUCAGGUGAUCUGCUCACCUUGGCCUCCCAAAGUGCUGAGAUUACAGGCAAGAGCCACUGCACCUGGCUCUGAGGGGCCAUUUUAAUAAAAAUGUUCAAGCUAGCAAUACAUACAGGCAAUAAUGGAAGUGAUACAAUGACUGUACCUAUACGACUAUGGACUGAAGACAGACUUACCACUGGGAGAAUUUUAAUUUUUUUCCCACUCGAUUGUUCAUGAACAUUCAAGUAUUUAUGGGGUAACUGUCAUGCUCCAGGCAUUGUAUUUUCAUGAGUAGUAUAUGUUUAUAAUGAAAUCUAUUUACAGGACUCUAGUACUAGUUUCUUUUCCAGUUUUAACUGAAAUUAGUGUGCCUCAAAGUAUUGCAAAUCAAAGUAAAUUCUAGCCAAUGUUUGCCUCACAUGAAUAACCCCAAAAAAGGACCACGUGGAGAGGAGGAGUGACAAAGAAUUAGGCACAGGGAGUAUAGCCUUAAAGAUUAAGUUUCAUAGUAAAUGUGACUUUCAACUGGAUGAGAAUGUUGGGAGUUGCAGGUCACCGGUUCCAGGAAGGUUAAAGACAUGUGUUGCACACACAGAAACUUGUAUUGAAAUUUGUUUACUUUCAUGUAAGGAGGCUUCCAAAAAGGAAGGAUUUUUGUAAAAUGAAAGUAAGAUUUCCCAAAGAUAAAUUUUAACUUUAAAGCCUUCUGUAAUGUAAACAGAAAUUACACACGCUCACAUACACAGGAAAGUGAACAGUCUCUUUGAAGCCCCACAGCCAAUGGGAUAUUCUGAAUUAGCACCAUACAUAGAACCAGAGGAAGUUUUCAUAGAGCAUCCUGGGCACAAAGUUCAUUUUCUGUACUUAUAAGGCGAUCUGCUCCGUGAGAAAGCUGCCGUGUAGAGCUGGAGUUGAGAGUCGUGGGUUUAUCCCAUCAUUUACAACUACUGAUUGCCUUUUAAAAUAUGAACACAUUUAUUAAGAACCACAACAAAACCCAUUCCUGAUUAAAGGAUAUCUUUUUCUUAUCACUGGCCCUAGCCAGUGAUUGUUCUUCAACCAAGAGCUGGGAGGAGUGCUCCUAAGCAAAGAUUUUGGAUGCAGGAAAGGAACACUCCAAUCCCACAGGGAAGACCAACAGAUGUGUAUUCCAGACAGACAGAGCCUCACUGGCAGAGCAGCUGGGAAGACGCUGCUGACUGACAGGUGGAGACUGUUCUCACCUGGCUCAACCUGUCUUCCAGGUGUUCAUUCCCUCGUUCUUCCCCUUUCUUUCCCCUUCUCUCACUGCCGACCUUCUCCCCUUUGUUACUGUUGUUGUAGAAAUUAAAAAUGCUCUCCAUCUAAAUGCCAGGUCACUUGUGUAAAAUCCCAUACUAUUUAAGCAUUAAACUCUAAGAAACAUGAAAACUGAAAAAAAAAUAUGGAUUUUUAUGGAGAAGCGAAUAACAGUGGGUUUCUCUUUGGGAUGAUGAGAUCAGACUUUCUGGGCAAGUGGCAUUGACAGGUGGUAUAGCUUGAAAUGAAGCAUAGAAGUUGGAGGACACUAAUAAUUUAGUUAUGCUUAUUAUUAAAACAGCAGCCACUAGUUGUUGAACCCUGUCUAUAUGUUAAAUAGCAUCUUAAGCAUAUUUUAUAGUAAGCAUAUUUUAUAGGUGCCUGACAUAGGCAAAUAUGUCUUUGGCUCCAGUUUGAUGCUAUCUAAGAUUUUUCCCCUAAGAAAACGUCCUUGUUAAUAAUAUGGUAUAUAUUUUUUUCUUCCUAAAUUUCAAAUUCACUUGAGGCAAUUGAAUUCUCUUGUAGUAUAUAAAUGAUUAUAAAAAACUACUUCUAAAUACAGUCCUUACCAUCUAGAUUUGAUACUUCAUUGAAAAUUAUUUUGAUAUUACUGAUAAAAAAAUACUGGAAAUGCUUUCAUACCAUUCUAGAGAAAAUAGAUUCUGGUGCUAUGGGACAAAUUCUAUUUCCAGUCUUACACACUAACUCUAUUCUUCCCUUGUUCAGUCAUGAGAGCUUCGGGAGUAACUUCUGGAGUAACUUCUUGGCAGAUGGUAUUAAUGAGUCUACAGGGAAAAAAAGAUCGAGAAUCUAAGAAUUGUCUGACAAUUUUACCUCUCAUAUGGAGGAGGCCAUUGGAGAACAUUCCCUUCAGAGAUAGUAUUUUCUGCUUGACAAUAAAAGCUCUGAUUCUAUUUCAGAAAUGGUCAGCUUCACUCUACAUGCACUAUAGGUAGAGUGCUAAAUCAGAUUUUACUAAGUUCAGAGUUAGUCUGACAUGAGAGAUGUGGAAAAAAUGAAGUGCAUUCCCAAAACAACACUUCUGCUAGCAGCAGUCUCUUGUUUUAAAUCAGUUAUCUUAAACUGACUUAACUUGCUUUGAGGUAUUCUUGAGAUACUUCUUUUUAUAUAAAACUUUUGUUGUUUUAAAUCAAUGUGUGUCUAAACCAUGGAAGCAUUCAAGUAGAACACACACACUGUACAGGUGCACAUAGGUAUCUUCAAACAGGAACAACUGUAGUCUGAUAAUCACAUUCCCCUAUAAAUACUGUUUAAAAAUUUUACAAUGCAAGAUCAUGUCUAUUUGGAUGGGAAUCAAAUAUAAAAUAUCUUUAGUAAUCUCAAAUAGUCAUAGGGCUCUCCCCCAAUCCAGUAAGCAUUUACUCUCUUUGAAUUGCUUUUUAAUUCUUUAAUUAUAGCUGAGUUUUCAUAGACACAUAUAGAAAAUCAACUCACGGUGAGAAUUAAUAUUCCCAAGCACUUGCAAAGUGGUGAUAGGAAAUUAUAGCUCAUGCCUAUAAUCCCAGCACUUUGGGAGGCCAAAAACCGCAUGAUUAUCUCAAUAGAUGCAGAAAAGGCCUUCGACAAAAUUCAACACCCCUUCAUACUAAAAGUUCUUAAACUAGGUAUGGAUGGAACGUAUCUAUCUCAAAAUAAUAAGACCUAUUUAUGACAGACUCACA